GAGUUUGAUCCUGGCUCAGAUUGAACGCUGGCGGCAGGCCUAACACAUGCAAGUCGAGCGGUAGAGAGAAGCUUGCUUCUCUUGAGAGCGGCGGACGGGUGAGUAAUGCCUAGGAAUCUGCCUGGUAGUGGGGGAUAACGCUCGGAAACGGACGCUAAUACCGCAUACGUCCUACGGGAGAAAGCAGGGGACCUUCGGGCCUUGCGCUAUCAGAUGAGCCUAGGUCGGAUUAGCUAGUUGGUGAGGUAAUGGCUCACCAAGGCGACGAUCCGUAACUGGUCUGAGAGGAUGAUCAGUCACACUGGAACUGAGACACGGUCCAGACUCCUACGGGAGGCAGCAGUGGGGAAUAUUGGACAAUGGGCGAAAGCCUGAUCCAGCCAUGCCGCGUGUGUGAAGAAGGUCUUCGGAUUGUAAAGCACUUUAAGUUGGGAGGAAGGGCAGUAAAUUAAUACUUUGCUGUUUGACGUUACCGACAGAAUAAGCACCGGCUAACUCUGU
RNAcentral lists this ribosomal RNA (501 nucleotides) under uncultured bacterium. RNAcentral's name for it is "bacterial SSU rRNA". It matches the Rfam family "Bacterial small subunit ribosomal RNA", at positions 9 to 506 of the family's 1533-position model. The record is from RNAcentral.